This 565-nucleotide long non-coding RNA is filed under the name Ricinus communis (castor bean). RNAcentral describes it as "long non-coding RNA (RCOM_LNC002613)". Lineage: Eukaryota; Viridiplantae; Streptophyta; Magnoliopsida; Malpighiales; Euphorbiaceae. The record is from RNAcentral.
UACUCAACAUGUCAGAUGUGAAUCUCCAAUUUUAUGUGUGUUUUCAUAUGUUUCAUGUUCUAAAUAUAAAAAUUCAUAUUGUAAACUAGGGAAAAGGAAUGUGAGGACUGUUCAUGGUUAUAUAGAAGCAGCAAAGCAUUUCUGAAAGAGGCCUGACACCCAAAGAUCAACUAUAGCUACUCAUGAACAAAGAUCAACUACAACUACAAGGAACAAAGAUCAACUACAGCUAGUCAUGAAUAAAGUGUGAAAGUUUGUAGCCAGACUUCAACAGCUACAAAGGCAAAAGAGAAUGUGACUGUGUUUGAAAGGUUGUCUCAAAAACGUGCAGCAACUAAUAUAUCAGUUAGUUCGAAAGGUAAAGAGAAGGUAGUAGCUACAAAGACAAAGACUAGUAAGAAUGAAAAUUUGGUGAUUCAAGAAGGGCAACAUGUUUUACCAAAGCCAAUGGAGAAGUUUAAGAAGUUGCCUUAGAGAAGUUGCAUUACUGUAUUUUUGUAAUUUUGGAGUUGCAUGGAACUAAACUGUCAUGUUGAAUUUAUCAAUUAGUUUACCUUAAUAUUAG